This 550-nucleotide ribosomal RNA is filed under the name uncultured bacterium. RNAcentral's name for it is "bacterial SSU rRNA". It matches the Rfam family "Bacterial small subunit ribosomal RNA", at positions 355 to 896 of the family's 1533-position model. The record is from RNAcentral.
UAGGGAAUCUUCCGCAAUGGGCGAAAGCCUGACGGAGCAACGCCGCGUGAGUGAUGAAGGUCUUCGGAUCGUAAAACUCUGUUAUUAGGGAAGAACAUAUGUGUAAGUAACUGUGCACAUCUUGACGGUACCUAAUCAGAAAGCCACGGCUAACUACGUGCCAGCAGCCGCGGUAAUACGUAGGUGGCAAGCGUUAUCCGGAAUUAUUGGGCGUAAAGCGCGCGUAGGCGGUUUUUUAAGUCUGAUGUGAAAGCCCACGGCUCAACCGUGGAGAGUCAUUGGAAACUGGAAAACUUGAGUGCAGAAGAGGAAAGUGGAAUUCCAUGUGUAGCGGUGAAAUGCGCAGAGAUAUGGAGGAACACCAGUGGCGAAGGCGACUUUCUGGUCUGUAACUGACGCUGAUGUGCGAAAGCGUGGGGAUCAAACAGGAUUAGAUACCCUGGUAGUCCACGCCGUAAACGAUGAGUGCUAAGUGUUAGGGGGUUUCCGCCCCUUAGUGCUGCAGCUAACGCAUUAAGCACUCCGCCUGGGGAGUACGACCGCAAGGUUG